Molecule: ribosomal RNA, 560 nt
Filed under: uncultured bacterium
Lineage: Bacteria
Description: bacterial SSU rRNA
Rfam family: Bacterial small subunit ribosomal RNA
Source: RNAcentral
CCGGAGCUUGCUCCACCGGAAAAAGAAGAGUGGCGAGACGGGUGAGUAACACGUGGGUAACCUGCCCAUCAGAAGGGGAUAACACUUGGAAACAGGUGCUAAUACCGUAUAACAAUCGAAACCGCAUGGUUUUGAUUUGAAAGGCGCUUUCGGGUGUCGCUGAUGGAUGGACCCGCGGUGCAUUANCUAGUUGGUGAGGUAACGGCUCACCAAGGCCACGAUGCAUAGCCGACCUGAGAGGGUGAUCGGCCACAUUGGGACUGAGACACGGCCCAAACUCCUACGGGAGGCAGCAGUAGGGAAUCUUCGGCAAUGGACGAAAGUCUGACCGAGCAACGCCGCGUGAGUGAAGAAGGUUUUCGGAUCGUAAAACUCUGUUGUUAGAGAAGAACAAGGAUGAGAGUAACUGUUCAUCCCUUGACGGUAUCUAACCAGAAAGCCACGGCUAACUACGUGCCAGCAGCCGCGGUAAUACGUAGGUGGCAAGCGUUGUCCGGAUUUAUUGGGCGUAAAGCGAGCGCACGCGGUUUCUUAAGUCUGAUGUGAAAGCCCCCGGCUCA